This 45-nucleotide non-coding RNA is filed under the name Schistosoma curassoni. The record is from RNAcentral. Lineage: Eukaryota; Metazoa; Platyhelminthes; Trematoda; Strigeidida; Schistosomatidae.
AUUCAGCUGACAAGUCCCGAAUAAGACAAAACGCGCGUCCUGAGU